GUGGGGAAUAUUGCACAAUGGGGGAAACCCUGAUGCAGCACCGCCGCGUGAAGGAAGACGGUUUUCGGAUUGUAAACUUCUAUCAAUAGGGACGAAAAAAAUGACGGUACCUAAAUAAGAAGCCCCGGCUAACUACGUGCCAGCAGCCGCGGUAAUACGUAGGGGGCAAGCGUUAUCCGGAAUUACUGGGUGUAAAGGGUGAGUAGGCGGCAUGGCAAGUAAGAUGUGAAAGCCCGAGGCUUAACCUCGGGAUUGCAUUUUAAACUGCUAAGCUAGAGUACAGGAGAGGAAAGCGGAAUUCCUAGUGUAGCGGUGAAAUGCGUAGAUAUUAGGAAGAACACCAGUGGCGAAGGCGGCUUUCUGGACUGGAAACUGACGCUGAGGCACGAAAGCGUGGGGAGCGAACAGGAUU
This 412-nucleotide ribosomal RNA is filed under the name uncultured bacterium. RNAcentral describes it as "bacterial SSU rRNA". It matches the Rfam family "Bacterial small subunit ribosomal RNA", at positions 354 to 779 of the family's 1533-position model. The record is from RNAcentral.